This 3006-nucleotide long non-coding RNA is filed under the name Homo sapiens (human). RNAcentral describes it as "HSALNT0403029". The record is from RNAcentral. Lineage: Eukaryota; Metazoa; Chordata; Mammalia; Primates; Hominidae.
GGUAUGAUCAUCUUAUUGAGAAGUAUACAGUGCAAAAAAGGUUUUUCAAAACACUACAGGAUAAAUAACAAAUGAAUUCUUAAAACUGUUAAUCUCUGACAUCCAUAAAAAUUCAUCAGAGAGCAUUUUACUACUGAGCUGCAAAGGGAAAAACUUAAAAUGGAUAUGAAAAGUGAAGAAAGUGAUCAUAGGAGAAAACCAUUUCAGAUGACAAGAGCACCUCAAAGGCAGCAGCCUCAAGGAGCAGCCAUGGCCCCAGACUUGUCGCACGGAUGCAGAAAACUUAAUGGAGGAGGCUGAGGUCAGAAUGGGAAGAGUUUUUAAAAAAUAAAAAGGGGAGCUAAUAUGUGAGGAACUGAUUGCUGUGCAUUAUUUUCCACUGAACAGACCUUCUUUUAACUUCUAAUCUCAAGCACAUAGCAGCUGUUGUUUUCAUAUUAAAGAUCAGUAAGUGUUUGUUGAAUGAAUGUAUAAAUUCUUCCCCAAUCUCUGUUCCAUGUAAUAAGAACUAAGUUAGCAUUCAAUUAUAAAGAGGACUUAGAAAGUCUGCAGACAUUUUUGAUCAAAAAUCCUUUUAACUGUCUUCUUAUGGUUCCCGGUAACACCUAAGCCCAAAAAACUCAGGUCAUUUCUUGCCUGUACUGUUGCAAUAGCCUCAUAAUAACUAGUCUUCUCCUUUAUCAACCACAGUCGUCUCCGCUACACAAAGAAGAGAGGGUGCUAAUCUAAAGUGUAAAUUAUUUUAAAUCAGCACCCUUCUUGUAAUUUCCCAGUGGUUUUUCCUGUCAUAAGAAUAACAUGCAAAAUUCCUUGCUUGCAAAGCCAGGUAUGACCUUGCCCCGUCUACCUUACUGGCAUCGUCUCUCAUGACUCUUCCCCUUUUUCACUCUCCAUCUUGCCUUUUCCCAACCAUGCCUGCUAGUGAGCCUUAGCCCUUGUGUUUUCUCUGCCAGGGAUGCAUGACUGGCUUCUUUACUUUAUUCUGAUCUCUCUGCUCAAAUGUCAUCUUUUUAGAGAUAGCUUUCCUAAACAUCUUUAAAAGUACCCCAUGAACUGUGAAACACCUUUCCUGCUUUUUCUUCAUAGUACUUAUCACUUCCUGAUAUUAUGUUAGACAACAAGCAAAUAAGUAUAUGCUGUUCCCACUAAAAUAUAAGCUCCAUUUGAACAGGAGCCUUGAUUAUUCCUGAGUAUACCCCUAGUGCCCAGAACCUAGUAGGGCUUUAAUAAAUAUUAGAUUCAUUUGUUGAAUGAAAAAAUGAAUGAAUAAUUGAAUAAAGAUAUCCAGGUAGAGUGUCCGGGCAGCCCAACCUAUGUGAAGCCAGUACAAGAAUGUUUCUGUGACAUAGUGAGCGCAAUUAUUCCUCUAAAUGAUGAACUUGCAUGAGUACACAAGGAUAAAAUUAAGCACGUAGUUUAGAUUUCUGCAAGUCUCUUCCUCAGAUUGAGGAAAAACAAAGAAAUUGAGCUUAUUCUCACCUCAUUCUUACAUGAACUAAAUCCAGAAUAAAGCAUCAUUUAAAUACCAAGCACAUCCCUACCUCAGCCACUCAUGGAAUACUUUAUCUGUAAAGGGACAGAUAGAUAGUAAAUAUUUUUGGCUUUGGGGACCGUACAGUCUGUGUCGCCACUACUCAGCACUUCUGUUGAGGUGUGGAAUCAGCCCUAGACAACACAUAAACAAAUGGGUGUGGCUGUGUUCCAAUAAAAUGUUAUUUAUAAAACUAGGAAAUCAGCAGAUUUAGUCCACAGGCUGUAGUUUGCUGACCCUUGAAUUAGAGAGUCUUCCCCAAAUCCUCUUCCCAAGUUAUUGAAAGAAUGCCCAUAGGACCAUAGCUCCCUCACCUGGUUCUUUCAAGAAAUGAGACAAAUUCAGGGAUGGUUGGAGGGUGGAACGCCUACCUGUGACAUGACUAUUGAGCCUGAUUUCUUUCCUUUUAUCUCUUUAAAGUGAGUCAGGUCUUAACUUUAAACUGUCUCUAAAGUGGCAAUAACUGGGCCAUGUCAAAUACUCCCAAUGACAAAAUUUCUUCUUGGAGAAUGAAUGAGGGUUGCAUACAGUGGUGUGUUGGUAAAUGUUUAGCAACUGGCUCUCUUACUGAUUUCUGUAGUGUAAAUUCUCCCAUCCUGGCCAUCUGAAACUACCAAUAUGAUGUCACUUGAUGUAGAGUUGGGAAAAGACAGUCUCUUGAAUAAGUAUGAGCUGGUUCCAGCCCACUGCUGAACACAUAUUUAAAAGCUACAAUAGCUCUGCUCACUGCCAUUGCAGAGUCUGGAGGAAAGAGUAGCAGGCUUGAUAGGAGCAAUUGGCUGAAUAAUCUUUUGCAAUGCCAAUAAAUAAUGAAAAAGUAUAUAAAUAUAACGCUGUAUAGAAAGCUCUCAAGUUCAGUGUUUGGUUAAAAUACAUACUCAGUAAAUGGUAGCUAUUAUUGUCUUAGUUUAAGUUAUUGCAAGCAUUAAAAUUAAAUGUUUAGCUACAGACUCAAUCCAGUUUUAAUGUCAUUGUGUUAAUAAGGCCUCUUAACAUUGAAGCAACAAAGAUAAAGGAAUUUUUUUGUAGCUAUUCACGAUUCUGCCCAGCUCAAGGUAAAGAUAGCAACAAAAUACUCCAACCAGAAUAAAAGAAGUCUCCACUUGACUGCAGCUCUUCGCAACACUUCACAAGGGUCAAGCUGUGUUAGUUUCCUUCAGUGUUAAACAGAAUGCAUCUUAAGAGAAUAGUUCAAUUAUUGAUUGAAUAGUAGGUUCAAGUUGACUAUAAUCCCAACUAAUACACUCUAAGACCAGGGAUGGGCCGACAGAAGGGUAAAGUUUUCCACUCAAGUCUCGAGGCAAACACUCAGAUAGAAGUAGUAAUAUGGAUGCCUUCUAUUAUUUGGUCACAUACAAUACUGUUCCAGCCCAGUUGUGCAAAACUGGUGAAAUAAAAGGCAAAAAUAUUGACAACAGUUUGGGUAACUGGAUUCCAAAAUGGGCAUCCAUCUAAGAGAAAUUAAUGAAAAAAAA